This is a long non-coding RNA of Quercus lobata, 620 nucleotides long. RefSeq lists it as uncharacterized. Lineage: Eukaryota; Viridiplantae; Streptophyta; Magnoliopsida; Fagales; Fagaceae. The transcript has 2 exons. The record is from RefSeq and is a predicted model, not a curated record.
UUCUCCCACUUCACUUCUCUUUCUCUUUCUCUUUCACUUCCUCUUUCAGAUUCACCAAAUUUCAAAAAAUUUCUCUCUUCCGCCAAACCUUGCCGUACGUGGGACACCGGCGUCGAAUCUCCAUGAUCAUGGCUACGAAUGGAAGCUUCUGAGGCCCACACGACCACCACCAGCGGUGCUUGCCGGCCUGACCUUCUCCUCUCCCAACGUCUCCCUGUAUUCUCGUUUUCUCAAGUCCAGCUGUGGCCAAGCUUCUGGUUGCCCCUUCUCUGGCAGUGCUUCUCAGCGGCAUCACCAACGUUGGUGGCCGUCGGUCUUGAGGGAGGUCAUCAGAUUGUGAAAUGCACCAGGAUGCUCCCCCAAUAGGUUGAUUCUUUUCAUUUCAUAGCUAACAAGAGAGGGAUCUAGGCUCUAGCUAAGGUGAUGAACAGAGUUAACGGUUGAUUCGUUUCACUUCCUACACCAAGAAGACUGUCAAGUUCUUGUUUUUCCAAUUUCAAUUGGCCAAUUCCAUUUCCAAUCUUGACUAUGGGGAAUCCAAGAAUCAACUAAUGGCUUUGUCAACAAUAAUGUAUCUUGUAUUUAUCAGCAUGUAUCUUCUGCAAACGGGGAAAAAAAAA